Molecule: RNA transcript, 3020 nt
Organism: Neopsephotus bourkii (Bourke's parrot)
Lineage: Eukaryota; Metazoa; Chordata; Aves; Psittaciformes; Psittacidae
Gene: CELF4
Gene name: CUGBP Elav-like family member 4
Exons: 13
Source: RefSeq, a predicted model, not a curated record
UGCUAUUAAGGUUUUUAAGCCAGCCACCUGAAGAGACUAGCAGCUUCUUAAACAUGUCACCUCAAUGAAAUCACUAUUUGUUUUGCAUGUAAUACGGAGCCAUCUUGGCUUUCACAUCCCUCGUGAAAUAUGGUAAGCAUCUCUUUAUUUUGUUCCAGAAGAUAGAAAACUCUUUGUGGGCAUGCUCAAUAAGCAGCAGUCAGAAGAUGAUGUGCGCAGGCUAUUUGAGGCAUUUGGCAACAUCGAGGAGUGUACGAUCCUUCGUGGACCCGAUGGCAACAGCAAAGGGUGUGCAUUUGUGAAAUACUCUUCACAUGCAGAGGCCCAAGCAGCCAUCAAUGCCUUGCAUGGCAGCCAGACAAUGCCGGGAGCCUCUUCAAGCCUGGUGGUGAAGUUUGCAGAUACGGACAAGGAGCGUACAAUGAGACGCAUGCAGCAAAUGGCAGGACAAAUGGGCAUGUUCAACCCCAUGGCCAUCCAGUUUGGAGCAUAUGGCGCCUAUGCACAGGCACUGAUGCAGCAGCAAGCCGCGAUCAUGGCAUCAGUGGCGCAGGGCGGCUACCUGAACCCCAUGGCAGCCUUUGCUGCAGCCCAGAUGCAGCAAAUGGCAGCCCUGAACAUGAACGGGCUGGCUGCUGCUCCCAUGACACCAACCUCAGGAGAGUGGGUUCCUUGGGACAUGGCCAUGAGUUCAUUCAGGCUCACGAGUUCCCAUGGUGGAAGCACGCCUCCUGGUAUAACUGCACCAGCUGUGCCUAGCAUCCCAUCUCCAAUUGGGGUGAAUGGUUUCACUGGCCUCCCGCCGCAGGCUAAUGGGCAGCCCGCCGCCGAAGCCGUGUUUGCUAAUGGCAUUCACCCUUACCCAGCACAAAGCCCCACUGCAGCAGACCCCUUGCAACAAGCCUACGCUGGAGUGCAGCAGUACGCAGGUCCUGCUUAUCCUGCUGCUUAUGGCCAGAUUAGCCAAGCCUUCCCACAGCCACCUCCCAUGAUCCCACAGCAACAGAGAGAAGGCAGUGGGGAGCAGUGGGAUCCUCAGAGGCAACCUGCUCAGGUGGUCCCAGUCAUCCUCCAGAGAAUCACUGCUCCCUUUGGACAAGAGGAUCCUGCUUGCCUAAGUGAGGCAUUUAAGUCAGGACCAGAGGGCUGUAACCUGUUUAUCUACCAUCUGCCCCAGGAGUUUGGGGAUGCUGAGCUGAUGCAGAUGUUCCUGCCUUUCGGUAAUGUCAUCUCCUCGAAAGUGUUUGUGGAUCGGGCGACAAACCAAAGUAAAUGCUUUGGUUUUGUGAGUUUUGACAAUCCUGCCAGUGCCCAAGCUGCUAUCCAGGCUAUGAAUGGCUUCCAAAUUGGCAUGAAGAGGCUGAAGGUGCAGCUGAAGAGGCCAAAGGAUGCUAACCGUCCCUACUGAAGAGCUGUGGGAACAACUGGAUACAAAGCACUAGCACAGAGCCAGUCAAAUCCACCACAGUCUCGCGCUGAGCUAGGAAAAAAGUUCACGUAAUGACAUGAAAGUGGAGAAUACAGUCCCCCAGGCCGGCAGCAGCUGAAUGGGCUACAUUUAGAAAAAAAAAAAAAACACAAAAAUUAUAUAUAUAUUAAAAAAAAACAGGAACUGUUGGAUUACACCUUUGACAUAUCAGCAAAUAUCAAUCAAGCUGAAGACUUCAGAAUUAUUCUCUCUUUGAUUGUUUAGACUGUAACAUUUCUUCAAGGAAAGUAUCACAUCUGCUGACUUCGAAGGACAUGCGCUUGAAAACAAACAAACAAAUACAUAAGUAAAAUCAGAACAGGAUCAAGAUCAACCAGGAUUUCUGAAGAGACACUGAUAUCACCACAGCGGCUUUUCUUCAAACAGGAGAUGCAAACCUGGAUACUGGCAAAGGAGUGCCUGUUUGCCACCAAGGAUGCGGUUAUCAUGUGUGACCCAUGGUAACAGUCACUGAGCAUCUUUAUCUGUCAUUCCUUAGCUAUAUGGGGACCAAAGGACAAAACUUUUUACCGCAGACUUGUAGCUGUAUGUAAAAUAUGGAAGUUCUUUCCUUUUCUCUGAGCUGUUCCUAAAACAGUUUUUGAGAGCGAUUAUAAGAAAUAUGUAAAAAUUAAAAAAAAAUAAUAAUAACGCUUAAAUGCUUUUAAAACGGCAAGAUAAUAGUUCUUUGAUACUUUGGGAGGUUCUUUGGUUAUACAUUAAUUAGAGUCUAUGAAGCUUUCAUAUGGUUUUCUGUAUAAUACGUAAGGAUUUAAGGAUUGCGCUGUUAAAGGCAGGUAAGAUGGAUAUCUAUGAAAAGCAAAAAAGUAAAUAAAUAAAUACAUAAAUAAAUACAUUAAAAGGCAUAGAGAAGAGAAAGGAAAGAUGGUUGAUAUUAAAUGGAAAACAAAAAAAGGUUUGUAAAUGCUUCUAACUCUCCCCAUUUAAAAUCCUAAUAGUUGUACAGAAUUUAAAAAAGAAAGUUUAAAAUACCUAUAUAAUAGAAAAAAUUAGACAACAUAAAAAGAAAAAAAAUAAAAAAGCAAAAAAAAAAUAACUACAUAGAAGUUAGCGUUAAUGCUAAAAACAAAGAUGUUGUAGAACUGUAAUUUUUUGUAGAGUUUAGAUUGAGCAUAAAUUCCUACUCUCUGCCAAUUGCUGUUGGAUGCUGUUAUUUAUCGAGGAGAAAGAGGAGAGAAAUGGCUAUUUUGGCAGCUUUUUUAACUGCAAGCAUUCCAGCUAUUAAAAAAAAUAAACGAAACGAAACUCAAUUCUGUAGACAAUGCAAAUGGGAAAAAAAGAAAAAAAAAAAAACAGCUGUCUUUUUAUCAGACGUUAGUUCUAACUUGAACAAUGAAACACAGCUAAACGCUUCAUGUCUUCAUGAUCUGCUGUCCGCAAAAUUCCCAUCAUCCUAUGCUUUAGUAGCUUCCAUAUUUGCUCUAGAAACCUUCAGGGCAAGGUGUUAGCCUAGAACCUUAAUCUUAAAAAAUAAAAAUAAAAAAAUAAUAAAAAAAAUAAAAAAAGAAAAAAUAAACAAAAAAAAACAUAA